Molecule: ribosomal RNA, 253 nt
Filed under: uncultured bacterium
Lineage: Bacteria
Description: partial 16S ribosomal RNA
Rfam family: Bacterial small subunit ribosomal RNA
Source: RNAcentral
UACGGAGGGAGCUAGCGUUAUUCGGAAUUACUGGGCGUAAAGCGCACGUAGGCGGCUUUGUAAGUUAGAGGUGAAAGCCUGGAGCUCAACUCCAGAAUUGCCUUUAAGACUGCAUCGCUUGAAUCCAGGAGAGGUGAGUGGAAUUCCGAGUGUAGAGGUGAAAUUCGUAGAUAUUCGGAAGAACACCAGUGGCGAAGGCGGCUCACUGGCCCGGUACUGACGCUGAGAUACGAAAGCGUGGGGAGCAAACGGG